UGUAGUACAUGAACUUACUUUAAUCAAUUCACUAUAUCUAUUAGAAGUUAGUGUACAACAUAGAAUACAUGUCAAUAAGAAAACAGACCCUGAAUUUACAGUUUUGAAGGAAAUAAUGUAUAAUAAAAUAAACUCAGUAAAAAUUUGAAAUGUGAUCAAACAACAUUACAGUAUGGCAUCAGUUAAUUAAAUACAUCCAUCACAAUACAAUACAAUUCCAAAAUACAUGUAUGAACGUUAAUUAAUACAAAAUGCUACAAAUGGAACAAAUGUAAAGACAAAUAAUAAAAGUAGACUUAGCCUAUCACACGGAAUGCAUUUCAUUAAAUACGUUUGUGCCAAUACAAAGGAAAAUAAAUGUCAAUACAAAAAUACAGUUGGAAAAAAAAUAGCUUUAGUAAAAUUGAUUUUUUUCCCCUAAACUACAUUGAACUGAAACAUGUAAGGAAGAAAAAUGAUGAAAAGAUCGAAAUGAGAUGAAAAAUGAAGAAAAGUUUGAAAUCCACGGCGAAAUGGACUUCAAAAAUCAGUCCACGCAGAAUUUCUGCCCGGAAGAAAAUAAAUAGUUCCGCCCGGAAUUGUUUGUGCCGUCGGGGUCCGACUUCCCAUCCAUUUUCCAGCGCUUCUCCGGAGGGGGGCCACCACUGACCCCCGGUGAGCCGUGCCCGCAUCAGGGAAAGCGCAAUCCAGUACAAGUUUUCAUCAUAGGUGUAGUUUUCGCCGUGCUCUGUGCCCCCGACUCCGUCAAGGUAAAGAUGACGGCUCCCGGGAGGUGUUGCGUGUUUCACACGGAUGUUUCUUGCGGACGGACGCAAUGCCGGACCUCUAAUAAACUUUUACAAAAACGACAGACGAGCGUCUGGGGUCUCGUCAUCGUCGUCCGGCAUCAUGUCGUCGCCGGUACGGCCCAGCAACGUGACCAACAGGCGCGACGCCGAAUCGGUGGCGUCGCGCGUAUUCAUCGGCAACCUGAACACAGCGCUUGUGAGCAAGCGGCACGUGGCGGCCGUCUUCUCCGCGUACGGCCGCGUUCUCGGCUGCUCCGUCCACAAGGGCUUCGCCUUCGUGCAGUACGCCAGCCGCGGCCACGCCCGCGCCGCCGUCAGCGGGCACGACGGGCGCGUCCUGGCCGGCCAGGCGCUGGAUGUCAACAUGGCGGGCGAGGCCAAGCCCGACCCCGACCUGCCCGGAGCGUCAUUCUACCUUCAGUUGAGGACCGACUUGGACCGCAGGUUGUUUGACUUCCACGGUCGGGCCCCGCCCCCCGUCGUCCGCGGGGCGCCGCCGCUCGUCAAGUGGCCACGGGCGUCGUCCCUUCCUGCGCGACUGCGGCCCCAGAACGUCAACGUCCUCCACGCCAAAGCGACAGCAGGGAGAAGAGUUCAGCUGCAGGUCAUCAAGUCUCAGUUGACUCAAAUAAAAGCAAACGUCGACGCUUUGCUGGGACGCCUGGAACACAUCGCGGAACGCGCACACGCCAGAGACGCAGGUGACGCGUGCGCGCCCACACAGGCGGGCCCGAGCCACACAGGCAGUUCUAAUGGGCACCAAAAUCCGGUCCCGCCUCAGCUUAGCGAUGGUGCCGAUCCAAUAAUGCACUACAAAAAGAAUUCAAAGCCCUGCCGGAACCCGAAAGGGUUCCCCCUGGAACUCUGUUCUCGCCGCCUGAACCCAUGUUCUGCACGAACAUGUAUUGCAGACGGACGCAGUGUUUGCUCAUGGAUAAACUUUCCCCGAACCGACAGAGGAGCGUCUCUCAACUGUGGACCAAUCCUGCCGUAGUCCACCUUCAGAUGAUCUCCGACAUGAGAAGAUUCCAGGAUUGGCGCCGAUGACAAACUGUUGCUGACCCUCAGGUGAACCUGCUCGUGAUUGGCCGUCAAGCGGUCCCGGGCGUACGUGGCCUUUAGGUUCCCCUCAACGGGAUAAGAUGGUCUCAUAUGAAAGGUCUCGGAAGCUCAACUGCAAACAAUUUGUUAAGUUGGACUUCAGACUGCGGCUUUCAUGUAUGUGGAAUUUAAACAACCUUUACUGCAUCCGACCCAGACUUCAAUCAAACGAGUUGACUUUUAGGAAACCAUCUUGUAUCAACCUUUCAACUUGUUUGCGGUCCAAGUGGACCUGACUGACAAGACAACUGCAAAAGAAGCACACGACUUUUGGUAAACAUACACAGGCACGCAAAUGGUGACACGCACACACACACAUCAAUCAUCUGCCUCUGCCACUAUUAGGCAGAGGCAGAUGAUUGACACUCAUCUUAUGUGAGGAGAACAACACAAGCGCCUUUUUGAAUUUUUAUGAUUAGGAAAAAGUUGGACGGGGGGGUUGGGCUACAUCCCAUUUGCCAAAUCUAGCGAACGACGCGUGUGCUUGAAAUGUAGCAUAUUCACAUCAAUGUUGCAUUCCGCAGGUUUUGGCCAAUUCAUUUUCUAUUUUGGGAGAAAAACGGAAGGGUCGUCGCUAACACACAAAAAGCGCAAGUGUUCCCGUAAUAAAUGAACGGAUUUGUCAGAAAAGUGGCUUUGCGUGGUGCCGUGUGGCAGAGGAGGAUUCGUGUCAUUUCUCGUGUAGAAUACGCACCCCCUAACCUGAGCUCAAAUUUGUGGAAAAGCCUUCUACUGAUGUACAAUGCAUUUUUUUCAAUGCAUGAUUUCACUUCUCUCCCAGUAUGACGCAAACAUGAAGUAUUAUCCCUUUAUUUUUUUUCACAGAAUUAUUCAGAAGUUUGGACAGAUGCGGCCAUUUUGCUUAACAGCCAAAAUGUUGGAAUUUCUGGCAAGUCGUGAAAACAAAAAAUCUGAAAUGAAAUGAACAAUAAGGGUGGUAAACCAAAAGAAGUCAUGAUCAGAGUGACAAGAAAUGAUACAAAUAUGACAAAUGUUGAACUAAAUGAGCAAAAAUGCUCAAGUCGGUCGUGACAGGAAAUCUGAAGGAGCAAAAGCGAAGUUUGCGUCAGCGGGAAUCCAAAACAAUCCGAGCCGCACGCAGGCGGGCCCGAGAAACGUGUGGGGGGGUCGCAGCACCUCCACGGCCCUGCUUUUCAUUUGAAAAUCCCUUUCAGUUGCUGCCGUCGCACUCUGGAAGUCAAAAAAAAAAAAAAAAAAAAAAACCCACGCCAAACCAAAACCAAAACCAAAACCCUGACUUUUCCAUUCAAUUAGAAAUGUUUUGUUUUCCACACUGUCUCAACUUUCACACACACAUAGUUUAUGUAAUAGUUUUAUUAGAUAUCGCCUUUGUCUGAAUUUUUCAUUUUGUUUUUAAAAUUUGGUUUUUAUGAGUGUAACAUUUGGCUUGUUUUUUUUUUUUUUUUUUUUUACAAGGAGUAUUUGUCAGGGCCAAGAUUAAAAAAAAAGCCACGAUAAAUAUUGUGUAAUUAAUAACAAAAGAAUCCAUUUUAUAAAAGUUAAUAACAACUAACAGAUGCGCAAGCAAUCAAAUCCAAGCCAGGUGCGCCGUAAGCGCUCGCCGCUCAGAAGGUUGGACGCAGAUGGCGCCGCUGUAAUCGCCCGCCCGACCGACCCGGAUGGGUGGGCUUCGGGGGGCCACGCCAACGCCACGAGGCCAGGCCGAGGCCUUUGGGAAGCAACGUCGGCGUUUUGUUUUCGGAACGUCACCUUGCAAAACUUGCUUCCUUCCUCUCCAAUGACGCAAACCUUUUGUACCGCCCAAAAAUUAAGGUUGGCUCUCCAAAGUCUUCUGCAGCUUUUAAGUUGUAUUUAUUUCGAUUUGUAAAAUUGUUGCUUUCUAUCGUGGGUGUAAAUUUGGUUGCACAAAUGAAUGGAAUCCUUGGACGCAUGAAGGCUGUCAUCCAAAAAAAUAUGGACGAGUUGUGAAGAAUUGUCGAAUAGGUGCAGUGAAUCCAGAUGGGAUUUUAUUUAUUUUUUUCAAUUUGAUUUGAAAUUGUGUUAUCAUUAUAAGAUGAUUUGUGUUGAAUUUCGAGGGAGGGGACAAAAAAGUCAUCGAUUUUAUCAGAUAAAUCAAGUGGAGCCGAGCCCGCCGGCUCCUUCCUUUUUCUUCUGGGGUGAAGUCAGCCAAAUCCUUUCUUGUUGUCGUCAUCGUGAUGAUACGCAUGUUAAGGAAAAGUCAAGUCGCCGCUUACGGAGUCGUGAAAAUCCGUGCGGCCGUGACAUAUCGCUGAUUUGUUUUCAAGAUGGAAAUGUUUUCCCAGAUCGAAGGAGACGAUAGCCGACAGACAGAUUUUUUGCGACCUCCGGGGAUGUCGGCCGCUCGCGAUGCUUUUCGCCGGCUGUCAAAACACCACUUUCAUUUUCUCUUAUGAUCGUGUUAUUAAAAGGAAAACCAAUACAAAGAAAUGUUUUGGGAACUUUGAACGUCAGCCAGCCUUUGAUUGGAAAUGGAUGACGCGCGUCCUUGAAAUUCUCAAUGCAUUUUGCAACUUUGCGGCCAAAUGUGGAACGGCAGAAAAUUUGGGAGAUAAUCGGCGUUCAGGAAAAAUGAAAAAUUGACUCUUUUGUUGACAAAUUCCUUCAAAAUACGCUUUUAGAAUUUUGACCUUUUAACCCGUUUGACGGCAUUUUGACUGGACCUGCCCCCAAAAAAUGAAUAGACGCUCUCCUUUUACCAGAAAACCAAAGUUGGUUUCUCGUUUUUUUUUUUUUUUUUGUUUGUUUUUUUUUUUCCGGUCCUUAGUCGUCGUCCUCAGGAGUGUGUGAUUCGCUUUCACCAAAACGGUGACAUCGUAUCAUGGGCCACUUUGUUUUUUUGAACAAUACUUUUGAGAAAAUGGACGGGCACGCCACAAGAUCCAAAGCACUCAUCGGUGAAAAGAAUCUGAAGUCCAGCCACAAUAGUUUUGGACUGAUGAGACCGGGAUGAACCUCUCGAAAGUGUGGAGAAUCCCAGGAUCCGCUUCUGAUCCACAAUACACAAAUUCAUCUGUGAAGCACGGCGGAAGUCAGGUCACGGCUCGGGCUCGGGUGCCUGCUCCUGGAACGGACUCGCUAGUCUCGCGGUGGUAGCAGCAGAGGGAAUUGUGAAGUCUACAAAACAAUUUUGCCAGGCAGUCGACAGAAAAAGGGAGACGUUUCAUCAUGCGCCAAAAAACGCUGCGGACAUCAGCGCGGUGGAAAAGCGGAAGGUCUCGGACUGGCCAAGUCAGAGGAGGAGGAGAAACCCACUGAAACAGGCCGCAGGAAAGGUCUAGAAACGCAUAAAAGAAGAAGAAGAAUGCGAGUCGCAAGAAGUCAGCCGGUCGCAGGCUCGAUGCACUUAUUGCAACAGCAAAUGUUCAAUGUUAUCCUCUCAACGUUGAUAUGAAUCAACGAGUGUUCCGAAUGCUUUUGCCGACGGUCAAAUUCUAACAGAUGGUGCUCCGUCCUGGGUUGUUGAACACAUCGAGAAGCAAAUGCCGUGAAAUCAGAGAUGGACUUUGGUUGAUGUUCUUCAUUUGAUCCGAAACCCACGACAAAUCUCCAAGCACCGUAAAACGAUGGAUUUGGAAGAUGGAAUUCGGUCACGCCUUCGGGUUCUUUGUUCCACUCCGCAGUGGAAAUGACAACCUGCUCACAGUUGCCUCACUGCUCGGGGGUGUCAAACUCAUUUUUUGUCGCGGGCCACACGGCGGUUACGGUUUCCCUCCAAGAAGGCUGUUACGACGGAAACCAUAAAAAUCUUUAAUCGUAUUUACCCAAUGAAUUUAUGAACUAGUUCUGGAAUAAGAAAUGAUGGGUAAUGGGCUCUACAACGCUUGUUGAUGUCUGGUAACACAAAAAUGCUUGCAAAAUCUCAAUGUUUUCAUUUACAAUGUGACCUUUUUACAUUUUUGUACCGAUUUGAACAAAAAUCGUGGAAGUUGACACACAAGAUUUGCCCGCGUGGGCCACAUAAAAUCAGGCGACGGGCCGGAUCUGGCCCACGGGCCUGGAGUUGGACACCGGUGCCUUCACUGUAUACAUCAAGGUUGAAUAAGUAAAUGCACCUACCACAAGAGGGAGCCCUUGUACGUUGAGAAGUGCUGAUAUGAUUUGCGCCUAAUUCAGGCAAAGUUGACAGAUUGGACACUUUUUAUUUUCGGCGACUAAAUCGACUCCAGUUUUUGUCGACAAUCAUAUUUGUGUAGUUCGUCUACCAAAAUCGACAAAACCAGUUCAGAUGACAAAAUGUUUACUAAACUGAAAGUUGCUGUCAAAAUGAGCGCUGCUGUCAGUCAGUUUGAUCAAUUGACUAAUUGGGCAAAGAAAAAGGGAAUUAUUUUCCAUAUAAUAAAUAAGGUGGUGACAUCGGUCUUGACGGCGGCGAUGAGAACUUUGAAUAUCUGUCGUCGAUGACGUUGGCCCGUGUGCGCAAAUGACGGACAAUUAUUGGCCCGACUGGUGCAAUAAUAAUAAUCAUAAAAAAAACGAUCGUAAUAAUGAGAAUGAGAAUGAUAAUAAUAGGGUCUGUCCUGUUGGGAGGACUUAAAAGCUGACAGCAAGUAUGCGAAGCAAAACGCCGCAAAAUAAUUUCCAAUAAAUGAUGUGGUUUCCCACUGGGCACAUGUGCCUCACACUUCUUUCGUUCCGUCUUUUUUUUCUUUUGUCCGGAUCGGAUGGGAGAUCAAAGAGGGUCUGGAUCCCUUUCGUGCCGCGAAAGUUCUACCGGGGGUUUUUAAGCUUCCGCCGUGCUUUCUUCGUAUCUGCCAGGUUCCGAUCCUGCGCGGGGUUUGCGUGUUUACGGUACUCUGCUUUCCUCCCGCAAUCGUCCAAACACGGCGCUACGAAAACCGGAUGGAUGUGGAUGUGGAUUUUGCUUGUGCUAGAAAGCAAAAGGAAGGUCAGAAAAAGCCUCCUAGAAAUUGAGUGUCAGGUGUGCGGUGCCUCCCGUUGAACACCCAUUUGAAUGUAAUUGACCACUUGAGAACACAGAUUGUAGAGGGUGUGCGCACUUGUGCAACUACACUUUCAGUCAUUUAUUUUUGCUUUCCCUCACAAAAAUGCAUUGAAUGCACAUGAAUGAUGCCAUACAUAUAUUUUUGAUAUCCCCCGCCCCUCCAUAUCACCAAAACGUGCGAUUUGGACAAGUUUGUGUCAACUUUGACGUGAUUUGACUUAAUUUCUGCUCAUUUGGAUUCCCAACAUGGCAAACGUUUAAAUUUGUUGGCGAGUUGCAGCGAUCCUCAAAGUGCGGCCUGCGGGCUCCUUGGCGUGGCAGUCCAAUAAAAUAUUUCAACUGCAGAACGUUGAUUGGUGAUUUCAACUUCCAACUUCCAACUUUUGGAAGUUGUACAUUUGUCAAGUGCAGUUCACUUGUAUUUAACUUUCAUGUAUCAAUGAAUUAACAGCGGAUUGCUCCUGCCCCAAGUUUCAACAUUGAAAACGAGUCAAAGUUUUACGUUCAGAAAGUCUGGAGCAUUGGUGUCAAACUUAAGGCCCGGGGGCCAGAUCUGGCCCGCCACAUGAUUUCACGUGGCCCGCGAAGGCAAAUGGUGUGUGUGUGUGUCAUCUUCCAUGGUUCUUCUUCCAAUUGUACCAACAUUUCAAAUUUUCGUAUCUUAAAUGAUAACGUUGAGAUAUUGCAGGCAUUGUUGUGUUAGCAAACAUCAAGAAAAGUUGAAGUGAAGCCAUUACCGUUGCUUUCUGAUUCCAAAAGUAGUUCAUAAAUUUGAUGUGUAAAUAUGAUGAGGCGCUUCAAUAAUUUUUGGGUUUCACAGUCGUGACGGCCCGAUAGAGGGAAAGCGGAACGGCCGUGUGGCCCGCGACAGAAGUGAGUUGGAUUCCCCAGGUAUCGAGAGGGGGCGGGGGCAUUAUCUGAUUAUCUGAAUACUUAGUGAAGACACCGCCCCCUCCUGAUCUUUUUGGUCAUUUUACCACGUUACAAUUUUGAUGAUUUGCAAAUUGUGGUCUGUCACGAAAGAAUCGCCGUCUGGCGUCAGGUCUGUUGGAUUUAACGUUUCAGAACUUCCAUUUCUUUUGGUUUCAAAGCCUUCAUUUAGCUAUGAAUUUUGAUUGAUCUUAGUUUAGAAUUCGUCAUUUAUAAUUUUACUGUCAAUAUUUCAUGUUGAAAGUAGACGUGAUGUUUCAGUUCCUUGAACAUUUCUGUUACUUGUAUUGAGCAACUUUUUCUUGGUGUUAUUUUUUCGUGUUUGAAGAUUUUGUUUUUAUCUCACGGGCAAGUUUGCAGCCACUCCCAAACGUUCUUUUCAUCUGUUUUACAGUCGACUAUUUUUGCUCAUUUUUGCGGACGCUUCGGGUGAAAUUUUGUCCCUGUGACUUCCUCGACGAAAACAUUCGGGGCUUUUGUUCAAAACGUUUUGCUUUUUUUACUUUCCCAGCCAGGAAAGCCAAAUAAAAAAUUUGUUCUCGUGGAAGAGCAAACAUCACAAAAAUCCAACGUCCAAAUAUUGACAUUAUAAUUUUUUUCAUUUGGGAACCAAAGGCGCAUUAUUAAAAUCAUAAAGUCCCAUUUUUGCCCUGAACAAAAGGCAAGUGUUUUUAAGAGUAUAGAGUUAGAAAAUAAAAUAUCCAUCCAUCCAUCCGCGAUUUGAUCCACUUAUCCUCACAAGGUUUGGCGUAAGUGCCAGAGCCAAUCCCGGCCAUCUUUGGGCACGAGCCCUCGACCGGUCGCCGACCGAUCGCGGGGCACACGCUGACAGGAAGCAGUCGCACUCACACCGAGAGCCAUUUUGACCCCGGGAGAAAAUCCACCACGCUUGCGGGGACAGGGGGUGGGCCGGGAUUUGAACCCCCGGUCCUCGCAACUGCGAGACAGAUGUUCUUCAGAAUCAAAUCGACAUCAAUUUUUUUAGGGCGUCCCCAGCCAUCCUUGUGAGGAUAAGCGGCUCAGAAAAUGGAGGGAUGGAUUUUAUUCUCCAAUCCUGACAAAAUAUGUCUUUUGUUCUUGUCAAGGUUACUUUGUUACUUUUUAUUUGUAGAAAGAAGAAGAAGGCGACUUUGUUUGUUCUGCUUUUUUUUUUUUGUUGUUGUUCUUUUUUUUUUUCUGUGACGGAGACGCAAGCGAGUCGUAGCCACUUCGGAUCGUUUAGGAAGAAGCGGGGCCAACGCUCGCUCGCUGGCGGGCUGCUCUGCUAUGAAGUGAGGUGUGUGGGGGGGGGGGGGGGGGGAAGGUUACCUCCAGAUUAUCCCCCUGACGGCGGCAAAUGGGCCACGCGGGUCAAAGGUUGAUGUGUGGACAAUCUCGACACGUCUGCAAAUGAUACCAAAAUGAUUUUUGUUUUUUGUUUUUUUCUUCUCCUUCUCGGAGUCGUCGACGAGCAUCCCGGCAGAAACGUCUCCUCCGGUUUCCCCAGAAAUGCGAUGGAUUUUGGGCUGCCGUCUGCUUGGAGCCGGCGUUGCCGUGGAAACUGUUUUCCGUCGCCUUGCCUGCAUACGUCAAGUGAACACCGCCACCUGCUGGAGAAGAAGUGCAGCGUGCGGAUGGAUGACGUCACUACGACCACCCGGUGCGACGGUUUGAACGCUCCCGGUGCCGAAAAGUCUCCUCGUGAUUAACGCGCAUGUGCGUAUAUUUUGUAAACUUCUGGCCAGUCUGUAACAUCCCCAUCCACGCUUCAACAUGUGCCGUUCCGCAACUGCGUGUUCGCCAUGUGGACGUCUCAGAAAGACGAACGCACAGAUUUGUGCAUACGUUUGUAUCAACUUUUGUUUGAAGGUUAGGUCAUAACGAAUGUUAGCUUCGUCUAUGUAGAGGAAGGGGAACUAUGAGACUGGGGGAUUUCCCCAGCAAGCGUCCAUCACAAGGAGACUUUUCAGCACGGGGAGCGCUCAGACCAUCACACCGGCCGGCUUUAAGAAGUCAAUAACUCAAGUUAACAAGCAGAAAUGGAAAUUGAUGAUUAUCCCUUUAGAACUCCAAAUCUAGUCUCAAGCAUUAUUUUUUUUCGCCUUAAUGUAUUUUUACUUUGUUGCAACUGAAGUUAUGACUUUUUGUACAUACAUAAAUGUCAAUAUUACAUUGACAAAGAUGCAUGCUAUAUUAUUAAAAAGGGGGGGGGGGGUCAAAAAAAAAAACAACUUUGGUUAGUAGAUUGAUUCCAUGAUUUCUGUGCUGCGCUUGCAUUUCCAAUUAAAGCGAGACGACGUCGUACGAGGGCCUCGCGUGUUUUGACACUCUUGGCCAAUAAUGCCGAUUGUGACAUUUUCAAAAGCAGGAAAAAGUGAAACGUUCCAGACCGUCAAUUGUCAGUAGCCGUCGUUCCGCUUCAGAGAUUCCUGGCACGCGAAACGUCGCGAGA
This is an RNA transcript of Syngnathoides biaculeatus (alligator pipefish), 10195 nucleotides long. It is a transcript of the gene named RALY heterogeneous nuclear ribonucleoprotein, with no coding region annotated. The transcript has 10 exons. The record is from RefSeq and is a predicted model, not a curated record. NCBI's taxonomy places the organism in Eukaryota, Metazoa, Chordata, Actinopteri, Syngnathiformes, Syngnathidae.